Molecule: non-coding RNA, 74 nt
Organism: Gymnodraco acuticeps
Lineage: Eukaryota; Metazoa; Chordata; Actinopteri; Perciformes; Bathydraconidae
Source: the annotation of a RefSeq genome assembly
GGCCGGUUGGCUCAGUUGGUUAGAGCGUGAUGCUGUUGACGCAGAGGUAGCGGGUUCGAUACCCGUACUGGCCA